GAUGAACGCUGACAGAAUGCUUAACACAUGCAAGUCAAACUGUGGCGGACGCGUGCGUAACGCGUAAAGAACUUACCCCACCGCUAGGGACAACAUAUGGAAACGAAUGCUAAUACCUAACACUGUGAGAGAUCUUUGCGUACCAUUAGCUAGUUGGAGAGGGAACGGCUCACCAAGGCGAUGCUGGGUAGCCGGCCUGGGAGGGUGGUCGGCGACAAGGGGACUGAGACACGGAGCAUACUGCUACGUGAGGCAGCGGUGGGGAAUAUUGGACAGUGGACCAAGGUCUGAACCAGGAACUCUGGGUUGACGAUUAAGUUUUCGGAAUGUAAAGUGGUAUCAGUUGUGAAGCGGUUCCAACAGGAGAAGUGACGGCUAAAUACGUGCCAGGAGCCGCGGUUAUUC
This 405-nucleotide ribosomal RNA is filed under the name uncultured bacterium. RNAcentral's name for it is "partial 16S ribosomal RNA". It matches the Rfam family "Bacterial small subunit ribosomal RNA", at positions 28 to 526 of the family's 1533-position model. The record is from RNAcentral.